RNAcentral lists this ribosomal RNA (460 nucleotides) under uncultured bacterium. Its description in RNAcentral is "partial 16S ribosomal RNA". It matches the Rfam family "Bacterial small subunit ribosomal RNA", at positions 338 to 795 of the family's 1533-position model. The record is from RNAcentral.
CCUACGGGAGGCAGCAGUGGGGAAUAUUGGUCAAUGGACGAGAGUCUGAACCAGCCAAGUAGCGUGGAGGAUGACUGCCCUAUGGGUUGUAAACUUCUUUUAUAUGGGAAUAAAAUGUUCCACGUGUGGGAUUUUGUAUGUACCAUAUGAAUAAGGAUCGGCUAACUCCGUGCCAGCAGCCGCGGUAAUACGGAGGAUCCGGGCGUUAGCCGGAUUUAUUGGGUUUAAAGGGAGCGUAGGUGGAUUGUUAAGUCAGUUGUGAAAGUUUGCGGCUCAACCGUAAAAUUGCAGUUGAAACUGGCAGUCUUGAGUACAGUAGAGGUGGGCGGAAUUCGUGGUGUAGCGGUGAAAUGCUUAGAUAUCACGAAGAACUCCGAUUGCGAAGGCAGUUCACUGGACUGCAACUGACAUUGAGGCUCGAAAGUGUGGGUAUCAAACAGGAUUAGAUACCCCUGUAGUC